This 627-nucleotide small RNA is filed under the name Pongo abelii (Sumatran orangutan). Its description in RNAcentral is "processed transcript". The record is from RNAcentral. Lineage: Eukaryota; Metazoa; Chordata; Mammalia; Primates; Hominidae.
AUGCUGCGAGUGAUUGUGGAAUCUGCCAGCAAUAUCCCUAAAACGAAAUUUGGCAAGCCGGAUCCUAUUGUUUCUGUUAUUUUUAAGGGUUCCAUGAGCCAGAUCCGAAUUGAGGCUGGAGUGAGUGCCUGUGAGCCAGGGGUGGCCAUUCUGCCCUAAGUUCCAUGCAGACAGCCAGGCUGUGAAGCUGAAUCUAGCUGGGAUUAGACUACACAGACCUCUGAGACCAAUUUCAACUCUGAGACUUGAUGAUUCCUACAAACAGUCCUCCAAACAGAACAGAUGAGAAAAAGAAAACAAAGAAAGUUGAUAAUGAAUUGAACCCUGUCUGGAAUGAGAUUUUGGAGUUUGACUUGAGGGGUAUACCACUGGACUUUUCAUCUUCCCUUGGGAUUAUUGUGAAAGAUUUUGAGACAAUUGGACAAAAUAAAUUAAUUGGCACGGCGACUGUAGCCCUGAAGGACCUGACUGGUGACCAGAGCAGAUCCCUGCCAUACAAGCUGAUCUCCCUGCUAAAUGAAAAAGGGCAAGAUACUGGGGCCACCAUUGACUUGGUGAUCGGCUAUGAUCCGCCUUCUGCUCCACAUCCAAAUGACCCGAGCGGGCCCAGCGUGCCAGGCAUGGGAG